GACGAACGCUGGCGGCGUGCUUAACACAUGCAAGUCGAACGGAAAGGCCCUGCUUUUGUGGGGUGCUCGAGUGGCGAACGGGUGAGUAACACGUGAGUAACCUGCCCUUGACUUUGGGAUAACUUCAGGAAACUGGGGCUAAUACCGGAUAGGAGCUCCUGCUGCAUGGUGGGGGUUGGAAAGUUUCGGCGGGUGGGGAUGGACUCGCGGCUUAUCAGCUUGUUGGUGGGGUAGUGGCGUACCAAGGCUUUGGCGGGUAGGCGGCCUGAGAGGGUGACCGGCGACAUUGGGACUGAGAUACGGCCCAGACUGCUACGGGAGGCAGCAGUGGGGAAUAUUGCACAAUGGGCGGAAGCCUGAUGCAGCAACGCCGCGUGCGGGAUGACGGCCUUCGGGUUGUAAACCGCUUUCGCCUGUGACGAAGCGUGAGUGACGGUAAUGGGUAAAGAAGCACCGGCUAACUACGUG
RNAcentral lists this ribosomal RNA (468 nucleotides) under uncultured bacterium. Its description in RNAcentral is "partial 16S ribosomal RNA". It matches the Rfam family "Bacterial small subunit ribosomal RNA", at positions 28 to 507 of the family's 1533-position model. The record is from RNAcentral.